RNAcentral lists this unclassified non-coding RNA (149 nucleotides) under uncultured Chloridium. RNAcentral's name for it is "sequence contains ITS1". Lineage: Eukaryota; Fungi; Ascomycota; Sordariomycetes; Chaetosphaeriales; Chaetosphaeriaceae. The record is from RNAcentral.
CAGGACUCGCAAGACUCCUUAACCCUGUGAACUUACUAUAAAGCGCGUUGCUUCGGCGGGUGCCCCGGGUCUCCCGAGGCGCUAAGCCCGCCGGCAGCCUACAAAUUCUGUUUCUUUGCGUUGGCAUCUCGAGUAAAACAAAUAAGUUA